UACGGAGGGUGCGAGCGUUGUUCGGAAUCACUGGGCGUAAAGAGCUCGUAGGCGGCUUAGCAAGUCAGGUGUGAAACCUCCAGGCUCAACCUGGAGACGCCACUUGAUACUACUAUGGCUUGAGUUCGGUAGGGGUAAGCGGAAUUCCUGGUGUAGCGGUGAAAUGCGCAGAUAUCAGGAGGAACACCGAUGGCGAAGGCAGCUUACUGGGCCGAUACUGACGCUGAGGAGCGAAAGCGUGGGGAGCGAACAGG
RNAcentral lists this ribosomal RNA (254 nucleotides) under uncultured bacterium. RNAcentral's name for it is "partial 16S ribosomal RNA". It matches the Rfam family "Bacterial small subunit ribosomal RNA", at positions 524 to 776 of the family's 1533-position model. The record is from RNAcentral.